AGGAUGAACGCUGGCGGCGUGCUUAACACAUGCAAGUCGAGCGGAAAGGCCCCUUCGGGGUACUCGAGCGGCGAACGGGUGAGUAACACGUGAGCAACCUGCCCCUUAGCUCUGGGAUAGCUCCGGGAAACCGGAAUUAAUACCGGAUAUUACACCGGCGUGACAUCGGCUGGUGUGGAAAGAUUUAUCGGCUAAGGAUGGACUCGCGGCCGUAUCAGCUUGUUGGUGGGGUAGUGGCCUACCAAGGCGACGACGGGUA
Molecule: ribosomal RNA, 259 nt
Filed under: uncultured bacterium
Lineage: Bacteria
Description: partial small subunit ribosomal RNA
Rfam family: Bacterial small subunit ribosomal RNA
Source: RNAcentral